Long non-coding RNA from Pleuronectes platessa (European plaice), 1445 nucleotides. RefSeq lists it as uncharacterized. The record is from RefSeq and is a predicted model, not a curated record. NCBI's taxonomy places the organism in Eukaryota, Metazoa, Chordata, Actinopteri, Pleuronectiformes, Pleuronectidae. The transcript has 5 exons.
ACAGAGAGACAGACAGAGAGACAGAGAGACAGACAGACCAUUCCAAACAGGUAGGACCGUGGUAACACCAAAGAAGAAGAGUGUUUUGCCAGAAACUUCUGUUCCGGAGCUGGGAGUGUUUGCGGGAGUUCGGGAGUCGCUCUCAGCUCAAACUUAACAUAUCUUUCAGACCUGUCCUUUUGAAAAUGUCGGACAGCAGGCUCAUUUUUUCUGGAGCUUUCUCUCGGAGAGGUUCACCUCCGCCGCGGUAGAGGUGGAGACCAUUAUGGUGGCGUAUCAAGAAGAAAACAAGAAAACAAACUCCGCACCGUGCUCAGCUCCGAGAUUCAUCUGCAGAAGAUAGAUGUUGGUGUAUGCACCAGAGCAACCACAGAUGUCAGUGAGCAGCCACCUGAGCCAGGCACUGAGGCCGACCACGAAAUUUCAGACACGCCGGCUAAAAAACCUAAAGUAGAGCCAAUUGAUUUGGUCGUGGGUUUAGGAUCAGAACCAAAACAGGUCUUUGACUAAGGUCUACCAAUAGGAAGGCCACCACUGAAAAUGAGCCCCCACUGACGAGGCAGAGAGGUGGAGAGGACCUGAUGCCAGCACCAACUCUGGUCCAUCAACCCUGGAGUCAGUGAUCGUGGUCGACAGCUCCAGUGACGAGCGCACGGUGUUAUCAGGCCACACCAGCACAGAUGAUAAAUGGGAGGGCACAAGGGAUUCCCUUGGAGGUGCUGCUCAUGCAGAAAGCCGCAGGCGAACAAGUGACUGUGGGAAGAUCUCCAGCCGUGUCGAUAAUGGACUGGUACGAUCUUGACCUGAUGCCAGCACCAACUCUGGUCCAUCAACCCUGGAGUCAGUGAUCGUGUUCAACAGCUCCACUAACGAGAGCACGGUGUUAUCAGGCCACACCAGCACAGCUGAAUACCAGGCCAAGUACUUGGAGCUUGAACUGGGUCAAGGAGGCUUUGGCUCAGUUUAUGCCGGCAACAGAAGGUCUAAUGGUUUACCAAGGCGCUGGAGGAGAACCCAUCAAGACGAGGAAGUCCCUCUUCGCUGCCAUUGGGAGGAGGAGGAGGCGGCGACUGGCAGUUCUGGUCUGUCCCUGAUACAGCAACCCCUUCUUCAGAAGCAUCUUCAUUCUUGAAGUGUUUCUGCAGCCAGGAAGGAACGAUGCUCUGGACUUUUUCUGUCAACCAACGGAUGAUGGCUGACUGCUGAUGAUGAAACACAAAGAACUAUCAACUUUACACAUAUAUUUUAUUCAACACCCCCACCCUGUCAAGCAAGGUAACAACAUUUGUAAAAAAACAACAUUGGCCAUUGUGUACAACAAAUUGUCCAAAAUAAGAAAUGUGUGGACGCCAAAUGCCAUGUCAAGACGAUAUAAAGACUUCCACUGUUAAGACUAAGUUAUCAGGAAAGUGGAGUUUUGAAUAAAGACUGUGAUGGUGCAAACA